ACCACCAAAUUGCCGAUUUUUUUUCAUUUUUCCCUUUUUUUAAAAAAAUACACAAACUUUGCUUACCCACACAAUUACACUCCAAAUUUCCGAUUGCACUUAACAAUCGUCGAUCUCCACAACACCCUCCUCGGUUACCUCUCCCACUCGCCGACUCAAAUUAGGAGUUCCCUUGCACAUGAUCAACCCUAAUCGUUCGUGACAACGGAGGGCUGAAUCGACUGCUGGCUCACCACGGAGGACUCGCGAUUGGAGCAGCAGCGCUCGCGAUUCGCUGAUGCAGAAUCGCAAGCUAGUCUGCAGCUCACGCGGAAUCACGUCUGGAGCUCACAUCAGCGGCUGUUAGAGGAAAAGUGUUGCAGAUCUGGAACUCUAUCGCUCAUGCGGAUCUAAGUCGGAGGAAAAAGGACUCGCUCACACUCUCUCGCUCGAGGAAAG
This 438-nucleotide long non-coding RNA is filed under the name Zostera marina. RNAcentral describes it as "long non-coding RNA (ZMAR_LNC002490)". Lineage: Eukaryota; Viridiplantae; Streptophyta; Magnoliopsida; Alismatales; Zosteraceae. The record is from RNAcentral.